CUACGGGCCGCUGCAGUGAGGAAUAUUGCACAAUGGGGGAAACCCUGAUGCAGCAACGCCGCGUGGAGGAUGACGCAUUUCGGUGUGUAAACUCCUUUUAUCAGAGAAGAAAAUGACGGUAUCUGAUGAAUAAGCUCCGGCUAACUCCGUGCCAGCAGCCGCGGUAAUACGGAGGGAGCAAGCGUUAUUCGGAAUCACUGGGCGUAAAGGACGCGUAGGCGGGUUUUUAAGUCAGGUGUGAAAUCCUAUGGCUCAACCAUAGAACUGCACUUGAAACUGGGGACCUAGAGUAUGGAAGGGGCAGGUGGAAUUAGUGGUGUAGGGGUAAGAUCCGUAGAUAUCACUAGGAAUACCGAAAGCGAAGGCGACCUGCUGGGACAUUACUGACGCUGAGGCGUGAAAGCAUGGGGAGCAAACAGGAUUAGAUACCCUAGUAGUC
This 439-nucleotide ribosomal RNA is filed under the name uncultured bacterium. RNAcentral's name for it is "partial 16S ribosomal RNA". It matches the Rfam family "Bacterial small subunit ribosomal RNA", at positions 339 to 795 of the family's 1533-position model. The record is from RNAcentral.